Molecule: ribosomal RNA, 441 nt
Filed under: uncultured Rhizobiaceae bacterium
Lineage: Bacteria; Pseudomonadati; Pseudomonadota; Alphaproteobacteria; Hyphomicrobiales; Rhizobiaceae
Description: bacterial SSU rRNA
Rfam family: Bacterial small subunit ribosomal RNA
Source: RNAcentral
UCCUACGGGGGGCAGCAGUGGGGAAUAUUGGACAAUGGGCGCAAGCCUGAUCCAGCCAUGCCGCGUGAGUGAUGAAGGCCCUAGGGUUGUAAAGCUCUUUCACCGGUGAAGAUAAUGACGGUAACCGGAGAAGAAGCCCCGGCUAACUUCGUGCCAGCAGCCGCGGUAAUACGAAGGGGGCUAGCGUUGUUCGGAAUUACUGGGCGUAAAGCGCACGUAGGCGGAUAUUUAAGUCAGGGGUGAAAUCCCGGGGCUCAACCCCGGAACUGCCUUUGAUACUGGGUAUCUAGAGUAUGGUAGAGGUAAGUGGAAUUCCGAGUGUAGAGGUGAAAUUCGUAGAUAUUCGGAGGAACACCAGUGGCGAAGGCGGCUUACUGGACCAUUACUGACGCUGAGGUGCGAAAGCGUGGGGAGCAAACAGGAUUAGAUACCCCUGUAGUC